RNAcentral lists this transfer RNA (89 nucleotides) under Marasmius sp. AFHP31. RNAcentral describes it as "tRNA-Arg". It matches the Rfam family "tRNA". From Rfam's summary of the family: Transfer RNA (tRNA) molecules are approximately 80 nucleotides in length. Their secondary structure includes four short double-helical elements and three loops (D, anti-codon, and T loops). Lineage: Eukaryota; Fungi; Basidiomycota; Agaricomycetes; Agaricales; Marasmiaceae. The record is from RNAcentral.
GCCCGCGUUGUCUAAUGGUUAUGACGUCAGACUUCUACGAGUGUCGGUCUUGUAUCUGGAGGUUGCGGGUUCGAGUCCCGCCGUGGGUU